This 443-nucleotide ribosomal RNA is filed under the name uncultured bacterium. Its description in RNAcentral is "partial 16S ribosomal RNA". It matches the Rfam family "Bacterial small subunit ribosomal RNA", at positions 338 to 795 of the family's 1533-position model. The record is from RNAcentral.
CCUACGGGUGGCUGCAGUGGGGAAUCUUGCACAAUGGGCGAAAGCCUGAUGCAGCAACGCCGCGUGACGGAAGAAGGGUUUCGGCUCGUAAACUUCUAUCAACAGGGACGAAAGAAAUGACGGUACCUGAAUAAGAAGCCCCGGCUAACUACGUGACAGCCGCCGCGGUAAUACGUAGGGGGCAAGCGUUAUCCGGAAUUACUGGGUGUAAAGGGUGAGUGGGCGGGAUGGUAAGCCAGAUUUUAAAGCCUUGGGCUUAACCCGAGGAUUGCAUUUGAACCUAGCAAGCUAGAGGACAGGAGAGGAAAGCGGAAUUCCUAGUGUAGCGGUGAAAGGCGUAGAUAUUAGGAAGAACACCAGUGGCGAAGGCGGCUUUCUGGACUGAAACUGACGCUGAGGCACGAAAGCGUGGGGAGCGAACAGGAUUAGAUACCCUAGUAGUC